UUGGUCAAUGGCCGAAAGGCGAACCAGUAACUUGGAAGAAUGAAAGUGUAUUAUAAUAAUACAAUAACGAUUAUAUCGUAUAAAAUUCUAAAUAGAAUAAUGAUAAUGACAAUUUUCUAUUUAUAAGUCUUGACCAAACUACGUGCCAGCAGUCGCGGUAAUACGUAGAAGACUAGUGUUAAUCAUCUUUAUUAGGUUUAAAGGGUACCUAGACGGUAAAUUAAACUCUAAAUGAGUACUUAUUUACUAGAGUUUUAUGUAAGAAGGAAGAAGCUCUGGAGUAGUGAUAUAAUACGUAUAUACCAGAGAGACUGGUAACGGCGAAGGCAUCCUUCUAUGUAAAAACUGACGUUGAGGGACGAAGGCUUGGGUAGCAAGAAGGAUUAGAUACCCUAGUAGUCCAAGCAGACAAUGAUGAAUGUCAUAGACUAGAAAAAGUCGUUUAGACUAUAAAUUUAGUCUAUAAAUGAAAGUGUAAGCAUUCCACCUCAAGAGUAAUAUGGCAACAUAUAAACUGAAAUCAUUAGACCGUUUCUGAAACCAGUAGUGAAGUAU
This 555-nucleotide ribosomal RNA is filed under the name Aspergillus nidulans. RNAcentral's name for it is "SSU rRNA". It matches the Rfam family "Bacterial small subunit ribosomal RNA", at positions 364 to 940 of the family's 1533-position model. The record is from RNAcentral. Lineage: Eukaryota; Fungi; Ascomycota; Eurotiomycetes; Eurotiales; Aspergillaceae.